GACGAACGCUGGCGGCGCGCUUAACACAUGCAAGUCGAACGGAAAGGCCUGCUUUCCCUUGUGGAUUGCGGGUACUCGAGUGGCGAACGGGUGAGUAACACGUGAGUGAUCUGCCCCCAACUUGGGUAUAAGCCUGGGAAACUGGGUCUAAUUCCCGAUAGGACUGCAGGGUGGUGCCUGUGGUGGAAAACGAUUUUCUAGUGGUUGGGGAUGAGCUCGCGGCCUAUCAGCUUGUUGGUGGGGUAAUGGCCUACCAAGGCGGCGACGGGUAGCCGGCCUGAGAGGGUGGACGGCCACAUUGGGACCGAGAUACGGCCCAGAGUCCUACGGGAGGAAGCAGUGGGGAAUAUUGCACAAUGGGCGGAAGCCUGAUGCAGCGACGCCGCGUGGGGGAUGACGGCCUUCGGGUUGUAAACUCCUUUCGACCGCGAGGAAGCCACCUGGUUGGAAGGGUGGUGACGGUAGUGGUAGAAGAAGCACCGGCUAACUACGUG
Molecule: ribosomal RNA, 494 nt
Filed under: uncultured bacterium
Lineage: Bacteria
Description: partial 16S ribosomal RNA
Rfam family: Bacterial small subunit ribosomal RNA
Source: RNAcentral